AUUUAGAUGCUACUGUGUCCUACAUCAAGCGUAAUUUGGAGUGAUUUUAUUGUGAUGUUUAAUUAUAUCAAAUAGAAAAAAAAUACAAUCGGAGAAUUAAACUUACUUUAAAAUGGGUGACUCGGAGGAGGAAAAUUACGUGACGUUUGGUGUUCCUCUCGACCCUUUGGACGAAGAAAAUAUUCCACGAAAAAAGCCUGUUACAAUUGAAGAUCAAUACGCUUACGAUGCCCAAGGUAGGCGCAGAUUUCAUGGGGCGUUUACGGGUGGCUUUUCAGCGGGAUACUUCAACACCGUCGGCACUCGCGAUGGCUGGAGACCGCAGCAUUUCAAAUCUUCAAGAAGUAGUAAAGCAGAUAAUGUUAUUCAGCGACCGGAAGACUUUAUGGAUGAAGAGGAUACGAGUCUUUUCGGAAUUGCUCCUAAAGGAAUACAAGCUACUAGCGAUUAUGCCGAUCAUGGACAAAAGGGAAAGAAAAGAGAGAGGAUAAGUCAAGACAAUAACGGACCUAUUCCUGGUACUCCUGUUUUAAAGGAACUUUUAAAACCUGUCAAAGAAACAGUGGGUAUUGUUCUACUUAAGAAGAUGGGUUGGAAACCUGGUCAGGGUGUAGGGUCUAGACUCACAAAGAGAGAAAAACAAAAGAUAAAGCAUCGUAAUGAAAAGUUAAAAUUAAUACAGGAAAAUCCUGUAAUAACAGAAAGCAAUUCAGAGGAUUCAGACGACAAUUCUACUAAUAUUACUUUUGCACCUGAUGAUUAUGAGCCAUUCAGGUGUAAACCAAAGGACAAUUAUUUCGGCAUCGGCUAUUCGGGUCUAGACAGACGGAAAAUUUUAUCUGGCCACAUCAAUUUAUUUGAUACUCCAGCAUUUUGUGUUCAAGAUAAAAAUAAGAAAUUAUCGAUUCAUGGCCAAGCAUUCGGAGUUGGUGCGUUCGAAGCCGAUGACGAAGAUAUAUAUGAAAGAGAAGAUAUGUCGCGUUACGACUUUUCUUUGGAUCCUGAACAUAAGACGAAGACAAGAUGGUCGCAGGAUGUUCCGACUAGCUCGCAAACUGAUUGUUUGGAAGGUUUUGUUCGCGCGAAGGAAAGAUUAGCGAACAAAAAGAUCUUUAAACCGCCAGAAUUGCCAAAGAAUUUUGUGCCAGUGCACGCUAUUAGAAAAAGCAGAUUUUAUCCGCCGAUUGCAAUUCCAAUAGAAAAUGGCAAACGCAGAGAGCCAUUGAAUGCAAUAGAUAGAGCGCGGAUUUUAGAAGAUCCCAAUGAACGUUCAAAAAAGCUACCAUCAAACAUAUCCGUCGCCUCGAAUAUCAUUUCGAAUACCUUGAAUUUACAUGGCAAACAGCAAACGGAGGAAAGAAGGAAAUUGGAGAAUCAACAGACAACGGCAAGCAACUCAUGGCUAGAUAAAUUAAAUGCUCAAAAUUUUAUCAAAGGUGGUGUUAUAGAUCUUCAAGAUGACACAGGUAGCUUGAAAACAUUAAAAGAUUUUAAAGAAACUGCUUCUGCAUCCAUACGUUCGAGCGCAGAAACAUCUAUAGAACAUGACUCCUCGAGUAAAAGCGAAAAAAGCGCAAAAUUGUUUUCGUCCGAUCCAGACAAACAGAGACGAUUCGAGCAAUAUCUUAUUUUCCUUAAAAACGAUGAAAGGAAUAAACUCGAGACUAUUCAACCACUUUCCAUGACCGAUUGGGAGAGAGAACAAGAACGUACGGAAUUUGAACAAGCGGCGAAGCUGGGGCAGUCAAAUAAUUAUAUGGUGGACAAAUUUAUAUCUAGCGCUGAUCACACGAUGGACAAGAUGGAUCCGGAGAAAGAUAUAAAAGAAGCAGUGAGACUGAAAAUGUUUGGCAAACUUACGCGAGAGCGAAGCGAAUGGAAACCCGCGAGUAUUGUUUGCAAGAGAUUCAAUAUUCCCGAACCGAAAGUCGGCUGCGCUCCAGUCACGACGGAUCGAAAAUCGGCGAGAUUCUCCAUCUUUGAUUCCUUAGAUUGGUGUAGUUCAUCCAAAUUUACGAAAGCUACAGACGAACGACAACAGCGAAUACAAGAGGAAGAAACGCCCCAACUGUCAAAAAAAAGGGAAGAGAAUGCAAACGAAGUAAUUUCCGGUAUUGAUAAUAUUUUGUCGAAUGAUUACCAAUCUUCAGAGUCCGUCUCCGAGAAGUUUAAAAUCUUCGAAGCUUCCUACGAGAAAGUUUUCGGCAAGGGUAUUCUUUCCACAGCGUCGGAAAAUGCUAAACAAGACGUAAGCGAUAAUUUAAAGGAUAAAACAAUCAAAGAAGUAGGAAAUAAGCAAGAAAUCGAUAACGGAUCGGUAACUGCAGUUAAAGAUCAGUCAAAUGAGAAGAAGGACCUCUUUAAAGCAAUUUUCCUUAGCAGCAGCGAAGAUUCCGAGGACAGCGAAACGGAAGAGAACGUUGAUAACGAAACGGUCAAAUCGAUCUUAAUCGGGAAAGAUCCGAAAGAAAUAAACAUCCAAAGAAAUACGUCGCCGCCGCGCGGUAUCUUCGCAAAAUUGGAUCUUGAUAGCUUGGUGACGCAUCCAAAACAGAUUAAUGAUGAAAAUACAGCUUCCAAGAUUUCAAAACCCAGUUUACCAAUAACCGAUGAAAUACGAAAUAAUCUCGCGGAUUGUAAAGAUGUGACCAAUGCGGAGACUGCGAUAUCAUCAGAUAUGUAUGGUCCGAUUCUGCCACAAAGAUUGUUAAAGCAAGAAAGUACUGCAACAACAGAAGCUAGUAGCACGAACCAAUCGCUAAAACCAGUAUUUCGCAGUGUCGUGGUAUCAAAGACUGCGGAUUCGAUACUCGGCGGGAAAUGGGUAGAACGGAGCAAAGCGAAAAAAUUAAAGAAAGAAAAGAAAAAGCACAAACAUAAAGAUCAUAAAAGCCCCAAGCACAAAAAGAAAUCUAAGAAAGAGAAACAUUCGAAACAUUAAUUUCUGUUUAUUUUUAUCUCUAAUUCCAAGCUUCAUAUUGUGAAACAAUUUACGUGUUAAAAUAAUUGUACAUAAAGACGAUUGAGUUUAUAAUAUGAUCUUCUAGAACCGUAUUAUUUUAUAAUGAAUUUCAUUAAACAUAUAUGCACUUAUUUUUCUAUACAUAUGAUGCUGUUGGUUGCGCGAAAUGUUAACUGUUUGUUUUGGUUAUAAAGACUGGUAGAAAACUCUCUGGUGCGAAUGGCUUUAAAAUAAAUCAAUAAUUCUUCGAUA
Cataglyphis hispanica is the source of this 3214-nucleotide RNA transcript. It is a transcript of the gene named G patch domain-containing protein 1 homolog, with no coding region annotated. NCBI's taxonomy places the organism in Eukaryota, Metazoa, Arthropoda, Insecta, Hymenoptera, Formicidae. The record is from RefSeq and is a predicted model, not a curated record. The transcript is spliced from 4 exons.